RNAcentral lists this transfer RNA (70 nucleotides) under Camelus bactrianus (Bactrian camel). It matches the Rfam family "tRNA". Rfam says of the family: Transfer RNA (tRNA) molecules are approximately 80 nucleotides in length. Their secondary structure includes four short double-helical elements and three loops (D, anti-codon, and T loops). The record is from Rfam by way of RNAcentral. Lineage: Eukaryota; Metazoa; Chordata; Mammalia; Artiodactyla; Camelidae. RNAcentral also lists the same sequence under 2 other names.
GGGUAUAUAGCUCAGUGGUAGAGUGCAUGGCUAGAAUGCAUGAGAUCCUGGGUUCUAUUCCUAGUACCUC